AUGCAGUCGAGGGGCAGCGAGGGCGUAGCAAUACGCCUGUCGGCGACCGGCGCACUGGUGAGUAACACGUAUGCGACCUGCCCCCUACAGGGGUAUAACCCGUAGAAAUGCGGACUAAUCCCCCAUAGUCCUGGGUGCUGCAUGGCAUUCAGGGGAAAGGUCAGCCGGUAGGGGAUGGGCAUGCGGCGCAUUAGCUAGUUGGCGGGGCAACGGCCCACCAAGGCGACGAUGCGUAGGGGUUCUGAGAGGAAGGUCCCCCACACCGGUACUGAGACACGGACCAGACUCCUACGGGAGGCAGCAGUGAGGAAUAUUGGUCAAUGGGCGCAGGCCUGGACCAGCCAAGUCGCGUGAGGGAAGACGGUCCUACGGAUUGUAAACCUCUUUUGUCGGGGAGUAACGUGCGGGACGGGUCCCGUAUUGAGAGUACCCGAAGAAAAAGCAUCGGCUAACUCCGUGCCAGCAGCCGCGGUAAUACGGAGGAUGCGAGCGUUAUCCGGAUUUAUUGGGUUUAAAGGGUGCGCAGGCGGCGCGCCAAGUCAGCGGUCAAAGUUCCGGGCUCAACCCGGUGUCGCCGUUGAAACUGGCGUGCUCGAGUGCGUGCGAGGAAGGCGGAAUGCGUUGUGUAGCGGUGAAAUGCAUAGAUAUGACGCAGAACUCCGAUUGCGAAGGCAGCUUUCCAGCGCGCUACUGACGCUGAGGCACGAAAGCGUGGGGAUCGAACAGGAUUAGAUACCCUGGUAGUCCACGCAGUAAACGAUGACUACUAGCUUUCCGGGGCGACUGGGCCCUGGGAGGCACAGCGAAAGCGUUAAGUAGUCCACCUGGGGA
This 831-nucleotide ribosomal RNA is filed under the name uncultured bacterium. RNAcentral's name for it is "bacterial SSU rRNA". It matches the Rfam family "Bacterial small subunit ribosomal RNA", at positions 55 to 879 of the family's 1533-position model. The record is from RNAcentral.